This 474-nucleotide ribosomal RNA is filed under the name Inimicus didactylus. RNAcentral's name for it is "partial small subunit ribosomal RNA". It matches the Rfam family "Bacterial small subunit ribosomal RNA", at positions 788 to 1491 of the family's 1533-position model. The record is from RNAcentral. Lineage: Eukaryota; Metazoa; Chordata; Actinopteri; Perciformes; Synanceiidae.
CACUAUGCUUAGCCAUAAACAUUGAUAGUUCACUACAUCUACUAUCCGCCUGGGUACUACGAGCACCAGCUUAAAACCCAAAGGACUUGGCGGUGCUUUAGAUCCACCUAGAGGAGCCUGUUCUGUAACCGAUAAUCCCCGUCCAACCUCACCUUUCCUUGCUUUCCCCGCCUAUAUACCGCCGUCGUCAGCUUACCCUGUGAAGGCCUAAUAGUAAGCAAAAUUGGUACAACCCAGAAUGUCAGGUCGAGGUGUAGCGUAUGGAAAGGGAAGAAAUGGGCUACAUUUCCUUGUUAAGGAAAUACGAAUUAUGUACUGAAACGUACAUUUGAAGGAGGAUUUAGCAGUAAGUAGAAAAUAGAGUGUUCUACUGAAAUCGGCCCUGAAGCGCGCACACACCGCCCGUCACUCUCCCCAAAUUAGCCAAACAAAGUAAUUAAAACGAUUUAUAUACAAAGGGGAGGCAAGUCGUAA